Molecule: long non-coding RNA, 1373 nt
Organism: Fukomys damarensis (Damara mole-rat)
Lineage: Eukaryota; Metazoa; Chordata; Mammalia; Rodentia; Bathyergidae
Exons: 3
Source: RefSeq, a predicted model, not a curated record
GGGGGGUGGGCCGGUGGAGAUGCGUUUCUGUGCCUGCAGGUGGGCUGCCACUGUGUGACUUCACAUUGUGAGAGUGAGCAGUUACUGUGAUGGGUGUGGACUUCAGCCAGCGGUCCUGGAAUUCUGCCUGGGCAAGAAGGUCUAUUCUCCAAGUUUCUUUUGAGGUAUUAACAUUUAACUUCUAAACAGACAAGGACCUGCCGCUGCUGGGUAGGUAAGAUAGUAGCUGCUAGUACAGGAAUGCUGAACACUUACUAGGUGCCCUACACUGAGUGAACUAAGUCUCAACUAAAACCUCAACUUUCCGGAACAAUCCCACUGGGCGGAUAGUGGUGCCAGUUUCAGUUUGCGGGGAAGAAGAGAUUUACGUACAUUUUUAUAAUUUUCCCAAGACCAAACAGGAAAAGAUGAUGGAAUUUAAAUUCUCAGCUCUGCUGGCUAGCAUUUAGGGUUCCAAGGACUCCUGUUACUCUGCUUUACCUUCCAUACCCAGCCAAAAUCCUGUGUACCUGAGAUUACACCGGGAGCUGUACUGAUGAUGGCUCUGUUGUGCUUUGUCACCUAGGCCUGCGGCCUGGUGGAGAUACUGGCAUGGAGUGCAGUGACUUGACCCUCCUCUUGUGUCGCUGGGACUCUGCCCCCGCUUUUCCACCCAGCCUGUCCUGCCGUCCACGGAACUCUCCUAAUUGAAGAAGCAGAAGUCAGGAAGAAUAUAGAAAACUUGUGUGACUGUGGUGGUAGAAAGAGAAACCCUGAAUGGGCUUGCACAUGGCCGGUCACCAGAUUGUCCCCGGUACAACCCUGCACCAGAAACGACAGGCAGACAGUCUGUGAGGCUUUCCCAAGUUACUGGCAUCGCCUCGCGGGAUCACCCGGCCAGAAACCGCUGCCUCCUUUGCCUCUGUCGCCGUCCUCACCCGAACCCUCACUGGACCCUGUUCCUACCCUCUUCAGCCCUCCUGGGAGAUGUGGCCCCAUGGGCGGAUGAACUGUCUGGGGUCUCUUCUGACUUCUGCUUUCUUUAUGUGUUCAGUUGUUUUUGAAGAUGGGACAGUGUGGAAGAAGCCCAUUUCACCCCACCUUGCCUCCUCUGCUUGUCACAACAAACUCCAGCACCUCACUGAACCCACUCCCAUACCUGUCAAAGACGAAUGUUCACAACUGCCUCUCGGAUUUCACCAUACAGCAGAUCUCAAGAAGUUUAUUCCCACUUUUCUUAAUCCUCUCCCUGAGAAGGGAGUUGAGUAAAGAUACUUUUCUCCACUGCACAGGUCUUCUCUGGACCUCUGCUUAACAGCUGAAGCAGACUCCUGAAGCAUUGUCUUUUCUUUCUUUUUUUUUUAUUCAUUAAGUUUAUUGGUACAUUUUAGGUG